RNAcentral lists this transfer RNA (68 nucleotides) under Stegodyphus mimosarum. It matches the Rfam family "tRNA". From Rfam's summary of the family: Transfer RNA (tRNA) molecules are approximately 80 nucleotides in length. Their secondary structure includes four short double-helical elements and three loops (D, anti-codon, and T loops). The record is from Rfam by way of RNAcentral. Lineage: Eukaryota; Metazoa; Arthropoda; Arachnida; Araneae; Eresidae.
GCCUUUGUGGUGCAAUGGGCAGCACACUCGUAUUCGAGAGGUCAGUGGUUCGAAUCUCGGCGAGGGCA